Long non-coding RNA from Olea europaea var. sylvestris, 1759 nucleotides. RefSeq lists it as uncharacterized. The transcript has 3 exons. The record is from RefSeq and is a predicted model, not a curated record. NCBI's taxonomy places the organism in Eukaryota, Viridiplantae, Streptophyta, Magnoliopsida, Lamiales, Oleaceae.
UUUUGCUUUUACUCAAAGGGUUUUAUCCUUUUGCUUUCCCUUCAAAUCGUUUCGGGGAGUUUUCAUAAGUUUUAAGUUUUUUUGUUGGGUUUAUGUUAACUUUUGCAGAGAACAAGAAAGUGGGUUGGCUUUAGAAAUGGUUCUUUGGUUUUCUCAUCCUAUAUAGCUUGUUUUCCUUUGGUAUUUCUGUGGCUUUCGGUAAUUUCAACUACUAGGAUGAGAUUCUCGUAUUUUGUAAAAAUUUUGGAUUUCUCGUUUAUUUCCUGAAUCCUAAUGUGAAGACAUUGUGAUUGGGAAGGAUUGAGUUUUCGAUCCGAUUGCCUGGUUCAGUGAUUAGUAUUUUCUUGUGAUUGACAACCGAAAAAUUUUAUGGUUUAAUGGAGCUUUUGUCCGGAUUUCUUUCACUUUUUCCAAAUCUUUUGAAUUUUUUUGUUUGUCCCCUGAAUCCUAACGUUAAGAUAUUGUGAUUCUUGGCAUGAGUAUAGAUUGGAUUAUUCCACGAAUAUUUGGAAGGAUUAAAUUGAAUGUUUGGAGCCAUUACCUGGUCCAAAUCUGUUCUUCUGGUGUUUUCAUGAUGUUGAUGCCUCAUUGAUCUUGAAUCUUUUUCAUGAUUCUUGGUUUAUUUUGUGGUAUAUUCUCCCUUGCUUUGACCAAUAUUGCUUUUAGUGGUCUUUGUUCACGCUUUUGGUAAUUUGAAGUGAUUUCAAUCACUGGAUAUAGGUUCAUGCAAUUUUUCCUCUAUAUAGAUUAUAGCAAUUUUUUAAAAAGUUCGAUUCUUCGUUUUCCUUUGAAUCCUAUUGAUAUUAUGAUUAAAGAUUGGAUUUUGGAAGGAUUAAAAGCUAAGUUUUGGUUGCUGUUUCCAGAAUUAUCUGUAAGCAAUCCAUUCGAACUUUGUGUCAUUAUAUAUUUUUUGAAUUGGUGGAGCUGAUGCAAAAGUCGCACCUCUAGACUCCAGCCAGCUAAUCACACCCAUGGAGCUACCAAGAGGCUUCCGAGCCCUGUUGUGCAGUUUGUGUGCGCAAAUUGACUUGUGAAAUUGUUUAUGAGUUUUAACGGUGAAUUCUCAAUGAUGUGAUUCCAAUAAUUUUUGUCGAAAUUCUACUUCUCGGAUCCCAGCAUACCGGAGGAGGAAGUGCUACAUGUGGAAUGGAAAUUCAAAGAUUCUAACAAUGAGGUUGACGAAGACAGUUUUCACUUUGAUAAGUCAACAUUGGAGCGCACAUCGCUGGGGUUCAAUUUAGUGUCAGCCCAAGCCAACUCAUCUAUGUCCGAUACAACUCAUAUAUGUCCGAUACAAACGAGCCAUAUUAUCCUUCUUCUGAGGAGCAACAAAUUGAUUAUUCUUUUGGUGAAGAAAAGAAUUUUAGAUUACCCGAAUUUUGUGUGGAGAUGGAAAAGUACGAUCCAAAGUUAGAAGUAGGCAAAAGAUUUCGGGACAUAGCCAAAUUCAAGAAAAUAGUUAAGCACUAUGGGGCCAUGAACAGGACUAACAUAAAAUUCAAGGUGAACAAUACUCAUAGAGCAUAGGGUGUGUGUAUAGAGGAUUGUACUUGGAGAAUUUGGGCUUCUUAGAACAAAAAGGACCGUGUACAUAUUAAGUCUUGCAAUCCAAAUCAUAAAUGCAGCAGCGACAAUACUAAUAGGCUCUACACAUAUGCUUAUCUAGUGGAAAGGUAUUUGGAGAUAUUUAAGGUUGAUCAUUGUUGGAGAACAAAACUUUUUAUCAAAAGGGUUAAGGAUGAUUUAAAACUAGAAACUA